Molecule: ribosomal RNA, 253 nt
Filed under: uncultured bacterium
Lineage: Bacteria
Description: partial 16S ribosomal RNA
Rfam family: Bacterial small subunit ribosomal RNA
Source: RNAcentral
UACGUAGGGGGCAAGCGUUGUCCGGAAUCAUUGGGCGUAAAGCGCGUGUAGGCGGCCCGGUAAGUCCGCUGUGAAAGUCGGGGGCUCAACCCUCGAAUGCCGGUUGAUACUGUCGGGCUAGAGUCCGGAAGAGGCGAGUGGAAUUCCCGGUGUAGCGGUGAAAUGCGCAGAUAUCAGGAGGAACACCAGUAGCGAAGGCGGCACUCUGGGCCGGUACUGACGCUGAGGAGCGAAAGCGUGGGGAGCGAACAGG